This 497-nucleotide ribosomal RNA is filed under the name uncultured bacterium. RNAcentral describes it as "partial 16S ribosomal RNA". It matches the Rfam family "Bacterial small subunit ribosomal RNA", at positions 28 to 507 of the family's 1533-position model. The record is from RNAcentral.
GAUGAACGCUGGCGGCGUGCCUAAUACAUGCAAGUCGAGCGAACGGACGCUAAGCUUGCUUCUCUGAUGUUAGCGGCGGACGUGUGUGUAACACGUGUAUAACCUACCUAUAUGACUGGUAUAACUUCGGGAAACCGGCGCUAAUACCGGAUAAUAUUUUGAACCGCAUUGUUCAAAAGUGAAAGACGGUCUUGCUGUCUCUUAUCGAUGCAUCUGCGCUGCAUUAGCUAGUUGUUAAGGUAACGGCUUAUCAAGGCAACGAUGCAUAGCCGACGUGAGGGGGUGAUAGCCGACAUUAGAGGUGAAACGGGGUCAUGGGGACUAAGGGAGGCAGCAGUAGGGAAUGGUACGCAGUAGGCGAAAGCAUGACGGAGCAACGGCGCGUGAGAGAUGAAGGUGUUGGGAUCGUAAAACUCUGUUAUUAGGGAAGAACAGAUGUGUAAGGAGAUGAACACAGCUUGACGGUAACUAAUCAGAAAGCAACGGCUAACUACGUG